Molecule: non-coding RNA, 235 nt
Filed under: Pseudomonas fluorescens HK44
Lineage: Bacteria; Pseudomonadati; Pseudomonadota; Gammaproteobacteria; Pseudomonadales; Pseudomonadaceae
Description: Pseudomonas sRNA P17
Rfam family: Pseudomonas sRNA P17
Source: Rfam by way of RNAcentral
GUAAGGAACAAGUAGCGCGGUCCAGCGAUUAUCUCGAUGGCCAGUUGAGCUUUCGUGAGCGGCUGAUGGUGCGCCAUCAUUUGAUGUUUUGCCCCAAUUGCCGGCGAUUCAUUCGGCAGAUGCGGUUGAUGCAGGCGACCUUGCGCGCCAUGCCCGAAAAACCGCUGCCCGGUGUCGACGAACUCGCCGAACGCCUGGCCGCCGAGCGUCAAAAGGGUAAACAGUAGUUUCAGUU